Molecule: ribosomal RNA, 483 nt
Filed under: uncultured bacterium
Lineage: Bacteria
Description: partial 16S ribosomal RNA
Rfam family: Bacterial small subunit ribosomal RNA
Source: RNAcentral
AUUGAACGCUGGCGGCGGCCUAACACAUGCAAGUCGAGCGGAUGAAGGGAGCUUGCUCCUGGAUUCAGCGGCGGACGGGUGAGUAAUGCCUAGGAAUCUGCCUGGUAGUGGGGGAUAACGUCCGGAAACGGGCGCUAAUACCGCAUACGUCCUGAGGGAGAAAGUGGGGGAUCUUCGGACCUCACGCUAUCAGAUGAGCCUAGGUCGGAUUAGCUAGUUGGUGGGGUAAAGGCCUACCAAGGCGACGAUCCGUAACUGGUCUGAGAGGAUGAUCAGUCACACUGGAACUGAGACACGGUCCAGACUCCUACGGGAGGCAGCAGUGGGGAAUAUUGGACAAUGGGCGAAAGCCUGAUCCAGCCAUGCCGCGUGUGUGAAGAAGGUCUUCGGAUUGUAAAGCACUUUAAGUUGGGAGGAAGGGCAGUAAGUUAAUACCUUGCUGCUUUGACGUUACCAACAGAAUAAGCACCGGCUAACUUCGUG